CAGGAAAUAGCUUAUAAUAAAGUAUGUUUUUUACAUGAAUAUUAAGAAUUUUUAAUUCUUUUCUGA
Molecule: transfer RNA, 66 nt
Filed under: Carinata rufipenna
Lineage: Eukaryota; Metazoa; Arthropoda; Insecta; Hemiptera; Cicadellidae
Also listed under: 1 other name
Description: tRNA-Val
Source: RNAcentral